UACGAAGGGGGCUAGCGUUGUUCGGAAUUACUGGGCGUAAAGCGCGCGUAGGCGGUUUGUUAAGUUGGAUGUGAAAUCCCCGGGCUCAACCUGGGAACUGCAUUCAAAACUGACAAGCUAGAGUAUGGUAGAGGGUGGUGGAAUUUCCUGUGUAGCGGUGAAAUGCGUAGAUAUAGGAAGGAACACCAGUGGCGAAGGCGACCACCUGGACUGAUACUGACACUGAGGUGCGAAAGCGUGGGGAGCAAACAGG
Molecule: ribosomal RNA, 253 nt
Filed under: uncultured bacterium
Lineage: Bacteria
Description: partial 16S ribosomal RNA
Rfam family: Bacterial small subunit ribosomal RNA
Source: RNAcentral